This 81-nucleotide ribosomal RNA is filed under the name Symbiodinium sp. ex Favites pentagona. Its description in RNAcentral is "partial 28S ribosomal RNA". Lineage: Eukaryota; Dinophyceae; Suessiales; Symbiodiniaceae. The record is from RNAcentral.
UAGCAUGAAGUCAGACAAGUGAACCCGCUGAAUUUAAGCAUAUCAAAAAGGGGGAGGAAACCCCCCCCCCCCCCCCCCCCC